GAUGAACGCUGGCGGCGUGCUUAACACAUGCAAGUCGAACGGACUUUUGAUGAAGCCUAGCGAAUCAAAAGUUAGUGGCGGACGGGUGAGUAACGCGUGGGUAACCUGCCUUAUACAGGGGGAUAACACUUAGAAAUAGGUGCUAAUACCGCAUAAGCGCACAGUUUCGCAUGAGACAGUGUGAAAAACUCCGGUGGUAUGAGAUGGACCCGCGUUGGAUUAGCUAGUUGGUGAGAUAGAGGCCCACCAAGGCGACGAUCCAUAGCCGGCCUGAGAGGGUGAACGGCCACAUUGGGACUGAGACACGGCCCAGGACUCCUACGGGAGGCAGCAGUGGGGAAUAUUGGCACAAUGGGGGAAACCCUGAUGCAGCGACGCCGCGUGAAGGAAGAA
RNAcentral lists this ribosomal RNA (393 nucleotides) under uncultured bacterium. Its description in RNAcentral is "bacterial SSU rRNA". It matches the Rfam family "Bacterial small subunit ribosomal RNA", at positions 28 to 412 of the family's 1533-position model. The record is from RNAcentral.